Long non-coding RNA from Spinacia oleracea (spinach), 1436 nucleotides. RefSeq lists it as uncharacterized. Lineage: Eukaryota; Viridiplantae; Streptophyta; Magnoliopsida; Caryophyllales; Amaranthaceae. The record is from RefSeq and is a predicted model, not a curated record. The transcript has 7 exons.
GGUACUUAAGCGGAAUAAAUGUUCAUUCUCGAUAGCAUAUGGAAACAAAGCACGAUUUUGGAGAAAGUUUAUUUCAAAUGGAGAAAUUGAAUCAUUUGUGGGUAUUUACACCCACCCACUAUCCGCGAGUCUCGCCGAAAAAAUGAAGCUUGAGAUUCAUCUCCACCGUCAUUGUCUGGCCUUCGAACUCAUAUCCACCGUCGCCGUUCUUACUAAAGGUAAAUUAUGCUUCCACUCGUCUCUCCUCCUCCUUUCCAUUUUUUCCGUUCAAUUACUAUAUUCCCCUUGUUUCAGUCUCUCAAUUUUACAUGAAUAUGUUUGAAUUAUCGAAUUAUUUCUCUCUUGUUGUCCCCUCUCCUCUCUCCCGCUGAAACUGUAAAACCCUAAUUAUCAAUUUCAAAUUUUCGCUUAAAAACCUUAAAAAUCCUUCGAAUUUGAGGUCAGGUAAUUUCGUGUGUCUAAUUUAUUAUGAAAAUUUGAUUUUUAGGUCAGGUGCUUGGAAGAAAGAGGACCUCAAAUUUGAGAGAAACACGAGUUUUAUUCCAAUAAGACAUACUUUUACUUGCUAAAACAUGAGUUUUACUUUAAUUGUCUAUUUAUAUUUUCUGGGUUUUGUUUAAAAUGAGUGCAGAAAUCAGGGAGGUUGUUGCAACAUCAAGUGCUAUAAUAUAAUUCAGAAGCGUGGAACAGGCUUGUCAACUCCCCUGAACACAUCUUCUACGCGGCAAAUGAAAUCUGCAGAAGUUCUGGCUGAAUAUUUGAAAAAUUUCCGUGCAGACAACAUUGUGAACAAUGCUGAAUUCAUUAGAGAGAGCAUUGUUCCAGAAGCUGGGCCUUGGACUAUCUUGGGUCAGGUGUAAAUUGACUUAGGCUUAAGAGAGCCUGGGAUCCUGUUAUAACUCCAGGUGCACAAAAGCAACUCAGUUAUUACUUUCUGAAUGCAUUUGAUAAUUGGGGGGGUUUCAACACGAACCCACUAUAUGUGAUACUUCAUGAGGUGAUUUACUGCCAAGGUGUUCCAUCUCAGUGGGCUGCUCAAAGAAUAAGGGAGGCCAACGGAAGCAAGUUUGACGCAAUCAAAGCAGCAAAAGAAGGGCGUCCUGUAUAUUUUACGGGAGAGGUUUGCACAUCACUGAGUGGAGAUCCUUUCACCGAUGAGAAAUUUGAUGAAAUACGAGACAAAUGGGCAUCAUACUUCACCGAACAUUGUGUGUAAUUAACGCUUCAUCGAUUUCUUUUUGUGGAUGUUUCAUGCUAUUAAAAUCAUAUAUAAUUGCCUUAUUAUAUUUUUGGUGCAAUUUUGUAACGUAUGAAGUGUAAAAGAUAUAGUUAUUAUAGACUUGAAACUAUUAGGUGGUUUAUUUUUGUAAACAUAUGAUGUUUAACUUAUAUGUAAAAAUCAAAGUUUCUUGGAAGUUAUUGGUGGUUGAUGACAC